GGUUUAAUUACCCAAGUUUGAGGUACUUUGCGUUUUCGACCUAAAGAAAUUUAGAGUUGAUAACAAAUUUUGGAACGUCCCCUUUCGGGGAGACAAA
Molecule: small nuclear RNA, 97 nt
Filed under: Caenorhabditis briggsae
Lineage: Eukaryota; Metazoa; Nematoda; Chromadorea; Rhabditida; Rhabditidae
Description: snRNA CBG29634
Source: RNAcentral